RNAcentral lists this ribosomal RNA (253 nucleotides) under uncultured bacterium. Its description in RNAcentral is "partial 16S ribosomal RNA". It matches the Rfam family "Bacterial small subunit ribosomal RNA", at positions 524 to 776 of the family's 1533-position model. The record is from RNAcentral.
UACAGAGGUCCCAAGCGUUGUUCGGAUUCACUGGGCGUAAAGGGUGCGCAGGUCGCAUGGUAAGUUUGGUGUGAAAGCUUCGGGCUUAACCCGGAAAUGGCAUUGAAAACUACUGUGCUGGAGGAUCGGAGGGGGGACUGGAAUUCUUGGUGUAGCAGUGAAAUGCGUAGAUAUCAAGAGGAACACCAGUGGCGAAGGCGAGUCCCUGGACGAUACCUGACACUGAGGCACGAAAGCCAAGGGAGCAAACAGG